AGUGAACGCUGGCGGUAGGUCUAACACAUGCAAGUCGAACGGCAGCACAGUAAGAGCUUGCUCUUACGGGUGGCGAGUGGCGGACGGGUGAGGAAUACAUCGGAAUCUACUUUUUCGUGGGGGAUAACGUAGGGAAACUUACGCUAACACCGCAUACGACCUACGGGCGAAAGCAGGGGAUCUUCGGACCUUGCGCGAUUGAAUGAGCCGAUGUCGGAUUAGCUAGUUGGCGGGGUAAAGGCCCACCAAGGCGACGAUCCGUAGCUGGUCUGAGAGGAUGAUCAGCCACACUAGAACUGAGACACGGUCCAGACUCCUACAGGAGGCAGCAGUCGGGAAUAUUGGACAAUGGGCGCAAGCCUGAUCCAGCCAUACCGCAUGAGUGAAGAAGGCCUUCGGGUUGUAAAGCCCUUUAGUUGGGAAAGAAAAGCAGCAGGUUAAUCCCCCGCUGUUCUGACGGUACCCAAAGAAUAAGCACCGGCUAACUUCGUG
This 492-nucleotide ribosomal RNA is filed under the name uncultured bacterium. Its description in RNAcentral is "partial 16S ribosomal RNA". It matches the Rfam family "Bacterial small subunit ribosomal RNA", at positions 29 to 507 of the family's 1533-position model. The record is from RNAcentral.